GCCCAUCGUCGCAGUCUACGUCGACGGGUGGUCUGCUGGGGAGUCGCCCGUACGGCACGGGGCGGCAGGGACGAGAGGA
Non-coding RNA from Olsenella sp. oral taxon 807, 79 nucleotides. The record is from Rfam. NCBI's taxonomy places the organism in Bacteria, Bacillati, Actinomycetota, Coriobacteriia, Coriobacteriales, Atopobiaceae.